GUUCUGACCAUAAACGUUGCCGACCAACAAUCAGGGGUGGUUUGACUUUAUUGACCCUCCUGGCUGUCCCUGGGAAACCUACAGUAAGGUUCUGGGGGAAGUAUGGUCUCAAGGCUGAAACUUAAAGGAAUUGACGGAAGGGCACCACCAGGAGUGGAGCCUGCGGCUUAAUUUGACUCAACACGGGGAAACUCACCCGGCCCGGACACUGUAAGGAUGGACAGAUUAAAAGCUCUUUCUUGAUUCAGUGGGUGGUGGUGCAUGGCCGUUCUUAGUUGGUGGAGUGAUUUGUCUGGUUAAUUCCGAUAACGAACGAGACUCUGGCCUGCUAAAUAGUACGUUGGUAUCAGUGCCUUUGGCGCUCCCGCCGACGCUAACUUCUUAGAGGGAUUCGCAGUAUUUAAACUGCACGAAAUAGAGCAAUAACAGGUCUGUGAUGCCCUUAGAUGUCCGGGGCCGCACGCGCGCUACAAUGACAGUAUCAAUGAGUAUUAAAACCUGGUCCGAGAGGAUUGGGCAAUCUUUGCAUUACUGUCUCCUCAGGGAUUGGGACUUGUAAUUAUUUCCCAUGAACGAGGAAUUCCCAGUAGGCGCAAGUCAUCAGCUUGCGUCGAUUACGUCCCUGCCCUUUGUACACACCGCCCGUCGCUACUACCGAUUGAAUGUUUUAGUGAGGUCCUCGGAUUGAGGUCUUUGCGAUGGCAACAUUGCAUUGAUUUUGAGAAGACGAUCGAACUUGAUCAUUUAGAGGAAGUAAAAGUCGUAACAAGGUUUCCGUAGGUGAAC
This 786-nucleotide ribosomal RNA is filed under the name Platyhelminthes sp. W32. RNAcentral describes it as "SSU rRNA". It matches the Rfam family "Eukaryotic small subunit ribosomal RNA", at positions 1023 to 1814 of the family's 1831-position model. The record is from RNAcentral. Lineage: Eukaryota; Metazoa; Platyhelminthes.